This 796-nucleotide ribosomal RNA is filed under the name uncultured Actinomycetes bacterium. RNAcentral describes it as "bacterial SSU rRNA". It matches the Rfam family "Bacterial small subunit ribosomal RNA", at positions 58 to 832 of the family's 1533-position model. The record is from RNAcentral. Lineage: Bacteria; Bacillati; Actinomycetota; Actinomycetes.
CAAGUCGAACGCGAAAGCCUCCUUCGGGGGGCAAGUAGAGUGGCGCACGGGUGAGUAACACGUAGGUAAUCUACCUUUGGAUUGGGAAUAACCACCGGAAACGGUGGCUAAUACCGAAUAAUGCAGCGGCACCUAAUGGUGACAGUUGUUAAAGCGGGGGAUCGCAAGACCUCGCGUCUAAAGAGGAGCCUGCGGCGGAUUAGCUAGUUGGUAAGGUAACGGCUUACCAAGGCGAUGAUCCGUAGCCGGCCUGAGGGGGCGGUCGGCCACACUGACACUGACAUACGGGUCAGACUCCUACGGGAGGCAGCAGUCGGGAAUUUUGGGCAAUGGGCGAAAGCCUGACCCAGCAACGCCGCGUGAAGGAUGAAAUCCUUCGGGAUGUAAACUUCGCAAGAACGGGAAGAAUAAGUAAGAGUUAAUAUCUCUUACGAUGACGGUACUGUUUGUAAGCUCCGGCUAACUCCGUGCCAGCAGCCGCGGUAAUACGGGGGGAGCAAGCGUUGUUCGGAUUUACUGGGCGUAAAGGGCGCGUAGGCGGCCACCGCAAGUCGACUGCGAAAUCUCCGGGCUUAACCCGGAAAGGUCAGCCGAUACUGCGGGGCUAGAGUGCAGAAGGGGCAACUGGAAUUCUCGGUGUAGCGGUGAAAUGCGUAGAUAUCGAGAGGAACACCUGCGGCGAAGGCGGGUUGCUGGGCUGACACUGACGCUGAGGCGCGAAAGCUAGGGGAGCGAACGGGAUUAGAUACCCCGGUAGUCCUAGCCUUAAACGAUGAAUGCUUGGUGUCUGGGGUUA